RNAcentral lists this non-coding RNA (256 nucleotides) under Eubacterium plexicaudatum. Its description in RNAcentral is "T-box sequence". It matches the Rfam family "T-box leader". From Rfam's summary of the family: Uncharged tRNA acts as the effector for transcription antitermination of genes in the T-box leader family. T-boxes are found upstream of many aminoacyl-tRNA synthetase genes and some amino acid biosynthetic genes usually in Gram-positive bacteria. The record is from RNAcentral. Lineage: Bacteria; Bacillati; Bacillota; Clostridia; Eubacteriales; Eubacteriaceae.
ACAAAUGCAGAGAAGGUGGCAUAAAGCAGCCGGAAACCGGUUCCGCUGACAGAGAGAAAAAGUGAGGCGCUGAGAGCUUUUUCAGGACGGACAGUUUUUGGAUUUCACACCGGAGCAGUUUGGAUGAAGUAUAUCAGCGUGAUUGCGCAGAUAUAUGAGUAGUUCAAAACGUUCAUACACGUUACGUAUGCAGAGUGUCUGGUCCGUACUUGGAGCAGGAAGCAGGGUGGUACCGCGGAAUAUCUCCGUCCCUUUU